This 468-nucleotide ribosomal RNA is filed under the name uncultured bacterium. RNAcentral describes it as "partial 16S ribosomal RNA". It matches the Rfam family "Bacterial small subunit ribosomal RNA", at positions 28 to 507 of the family's 1533-position model. The record is from RNAcentral.
GACGAACGCUGGCGGCGUGCUUAACACAUGCAAGUCGAACGGAAAGGCCCUGCUUUUGUGGGGUGCUCGAGUGGCGAACGGGUGAGUAACACGUGAGUAACCUGCCCUUGACUUUGGGAUAACUUCAGGAAACUGGGGCUAAUACCGGAUAGGAGCUCCUGCUGCAUGGUGGGGGUUGGAAAGUUUCGGCGGUUGGGGAUGGACUCGCGGCUUAUCAGCUUGUUGGUGGGGUAGUGGCUUACCAAGGCUUUGACGGGUAGCCGGCCUGAGAGGGUGACCGGACACAUGGGGAAUGAGAUACGGGCGAGACUCCUACGGGAGGCAGCAGUGGGGAAUAUGGCACAAUGGGCGGAAGCCUGAUGCAGCAACGCCGCGGGCGGGAUGACGGCCUUCGGGUUGUAAACCGCUUUCGCCUGGGACGAAGCGGGAGUGACGGUAAUGGGUAAAGAAGCAACGGCUAACUACGUG